CGAAACCUGGAAUCAAUUCAAAAAAGAGAAUUACAUUCCAGAACAAAUUAAAUAAUUUUCUUUAAUUCCACAUAAGAAACUUAAUUUUUAUUAAGAGUAAUGAUAAAAUAAUAAUGAAAGAAAGAAAAAUAUAUAUGCAAGACCCCAAAAAGACAAAAUACACAAUAAUAUAGAUAUGCAACAAUACGGAUAUAGGCUUUCAUAGUCAUAGGUGGCUAUUAUAUUAUUCGAUUUCCAAUCUGCUUUCCUGAUUCUCUUUAGGUCAUCUGUAGUUGUUGUAGUGGAAUACUCAUGCCUUAAUAUCGACAUACACCAUUUAGCUAGGGUUCUUUCUAGACUGUAGGUAGAUGCUUUUUUCAACUAUUGACCUGGCUUUUAUGGGUUGCUUAUGAGUUUUAAUGAAAGUGAAUAGUCUAGGACAGGCCGGAUCUGGGAUCUUGUUAUGCCUCCAAAUUUGUGGGAAGGAACAGUUUUUUACUAAUUUGCUAAGGGCCUUAGAGAGCUUGCCUUGCUAGUUUGGUCUUCUUUUAGGGGAAUUGGGUUUGAUUGUUUGAUGUAAUCUUCUAGAAAAUUAACAUAUGUGCUCUGGUCUAAAAUGACAAUCUUUUUUGUUUUGUCCUCUCUAGUGCAUGUUAGGUUGUUCUUUUGCAUCCAGAGCAAUGUCCUCUUAAUGAAGGCCACUUCUUGUUGGUGGUGCACAUUUUGGGUUUGCGUUCUUUUUGAGUUUUUAUUUAACUUAUUUCUAACAACUCCCAUCUAUAUUUGUGCUUUUCAUUCUCUUCAAUUUCUAAGUCUAGAAGCAAGUUUUCAAUUGCCGUGACAUCAUCUAGAGGGGCUGCAGAUGCCAAAGUGGCACAGACUGGUCCUUUUUGUAUCAGCUCUUUAGCAAAGGCUGGAAGUUCGACGUCGCCAAUUAUCGUCAAAGUCUUGUCUAGGUCUACUUGGAUUUUAUUCUUUUCUUUGUUAAUGUUCUGGUUCUUAAAAAUCCAUUUAAGUUUUUUCUUAAUUAUUUAGGGUUUGUCAGUUUUAAAAACCAAGUUUUUUGGAUAAAUUUAUAAAAU
RNAcentral lists this long non-coding RNA (1061 nucleotides) under Androctonus crassicauda. The record is from RNAcentral. Lineage: Eukaryota; Metazoa; Arthropoda; Arachnida; Scorpiones; Buthidae.